RNAcentral lists this ribosomal RNA (138 nucleotides) under uncultured eukaryote. RNAcentral describes it as "partial 18S ribosomal RNA". It matches the Rfam family "Eukaryotic small subunit ribosomal RNA", at positions 1299 to 1458 of the family's 1831-position model. The record is from RNAcentral.
UGGUGGAGCGAUUUGUCUGGUUAAUUCCGAUAACGAACGAGACUCUGGCCUAUUAAAUAGUUCGCCGAUUCCGAUCUGUCGGCGUUAACUUCUUAGAGGGACAGGUGGCUUUUAGCCACGCGAGAUUGAGCAAUAACA